RNAcentral lists this ribosomal RNA (407 nucleotides) under uncultured prokaryote. RNAcentral describes it as "bacterial SSU rRNA". It matches the Rfam family "Bacterial small subunit ribosomal RNA", at positions 355 to 774 of the family's 1533-position model. The record is from RNAcentral.
UGGGGAAUAUUGCACAAUGGACGGAAGUCUGAUGCAGCAACGCCGCGUGCGGGAUGACGGCCUUCGGGUUGUAAACCGCUUUCAUCCAUGACGAAGCGAGAGUGACGGUAGUGGGAGAAGAAGCACCGGCUAACUACGUGCCAGCAGCCGCGGUGAUACGUAGGGCGCGAGCGUUGUCCGGAUUUAUUGGGCGUAAAGAGCUUGUAGGCGGUUUGUUGCGUCGGGAGUGAAAACUCAGGGCUUAACCCUGAGCCUGCUUUCGAUACGGGCAGACUUGAGGAAGGUAGGGGAGAAUGGAAUUCCUGGUGAAGCGGUGGAAUGCGUAGAUAUCAGGAGGAACACCAGUAGCGAAGGCGGUUCUCUGGACCUUUCCUGACGCUGAGAAGCGAAAGCGUGGGGAGCAAACA